GACGAACGCUGGCGGCGUGCUUAACACAUGCAAGUCGAACGCUGAAGCUUGGUGCUUGCACUGGGUGGAUGAGUGGCGAACGGGUGAGUAAUACGUGAGUAACCUGCCCUUGACUCUGGGAUAAGCCUGGGAAACUGGGUCUAAUACUGGAUACGACAUGUCACCGCAUGGUGGUGUGUGGAAAGGGUUUUACUGGUUUUGGAUGGGCUCACGGCCUAUCAGCUUGUUGGUGGGGUAAUGGCUCACCAAGGCGACGACGGGUAGCCGGCCUGUGAGGGUGACCGGCCACACUGGGACUGAGACACGGCCCAGACUCCUACGGGAGGCAGCAGUGGGGAAUAUUGCACAAUGGGCGGAAGCCUGAUGCAGCGACGCCGCGUGAGGGAUGACGGCCUUCGGGUUGUAAACCUCUUUCAGCACGGAAGAAGCGAAAGUGACGGUACGUGCAGAAGAAGCGCCGGCUAACUACGUGCCAGCAGCCGCCGUAACAC
This 491-nucleotide ribosomal RNA is filed under the name uncultured bacterium. RNAcentral describes it as "bacterial SSU rRNA". It matches the Rfam family "Bacterial small subunit ribosomal RNA", at positions 28 to 526 of the family's 1533-position model. The record is from RNAcentral.